ACACUACUGAGGAGUCCCACAAUAGGAUGAAACGACCGUCCAGUGU
This 46-nucleotide non-coding RNA is filed under the name Schistosoma haematobium. The record is from RNAcentral. Lineage: Eukaryota; Metazoa; Platyhelminthes; Trematoda; Strigeidida; Schistosomatidae.